RNAcentral lists this long non-coding RNA (697 nucleotides) under Macaca mulatta (Rhesus monkey). RNAcentral describes it as "lncRNA (ENSMMUG00000054179.1)". Lineage: Eukaryota; Metazoa; Chordata; Mammalia; Primates; Cercopithecidae. The record is from RNAcentral.
GCGCGCCCCGCCCGCUCCUGCGCCACCGCCCCUCGCGCCGCCCGCCCGGCAGCUCGCACACCCCGCGCCACCGCCGCCGCUGCCGCCGCCGCCGCCGCCGCCGCAGCCGCGUUAUUAGAGCUCCACGGCGGAUCUCGGGGCUCUUCUGCUCGCUUUUUUUCCUCUUCAGAAAUUAAAGCAGAGGAGCAUCUGAAAGUGGAAAGGUCCCCCUUCUGAAAUCAUUCAGAAAGGGAAAAAUGUACAAACACCACGUUUUUACAAUACUUUCCUUUCGUGUGGUAGCCAUAUGUGUGCAGAAUACUAUGGUGCCAGACACCAAAAAUGUAAACUGUCCAGUUCACCUGAUGGAGACUACGCAGAUGCUAAAGAAGGAAAACCGAGAUUUGUCUUUCUUUGGACGAUGCGAAAAAGCAUAAUUAACUACUGCAAAAAGAAACACUUUCAAUAACGCUUUUGGUGUGGACUUCAUUAAAGUUUUACUUUUUCUUGAAAGCUACCCUUGACCCCCCACUUUUUUUGCUUUCUACCCCCACUCAGCCCCCCACCAUCAGCCUUCAUGUUUCUAGAGGACCCAGAUAAAGUAUGUGUAUUUACUGUGGUGUGGCAGGCAGCUUGUAAGAUGGCGCCCAUGACCCCUGCUCUGGUCUUCAUGCUGCUGUGUCAUCCCAACUCCUGAGUGUCAUCUGCACCUAGUGAA